This 521-nucleotide ribosomal RNA is filed under the name uncultured bacterium. RNAcentral describes it as "bacterial SSU rRNA". It matches the Rfam family "Archaeal small subunit ribosomal RNA", at positions 345 to 866 of the family's 1478-position model. The record is from RNAcentral.
AACCUCCGCAAUGUGAGAAAUCGCGACGGGGGGAUCCCAAGUGCCAUUCUUAACGGGAUGGCUUUUCAUUAGUGUAAAGAGCUUUUGGAAUAAGGGCUGGGCAAGACCGGUGCCAGCCGCCGCGGUAACACCGGCAGCUCUAGUGGUAGCAGUUUUUAUUGGGCCUAAAGCGUCCGUAGCCGGUUUAAUAAGUCUCUGGUGAAAUCCUGUAGCUUAACUGUGGGAAUUGCUGGAGAUACUAUUAGACUUGAGACCGGGAGAGGUUAGAGGUACUACCGGGGUAGGGGUGAAAUCCUAUAAUCCUGGGAGGACCACCUGUGGCGAAGGCGUCUAACUGGAACGAUCUUGACGGUGAGUAACGAAAGCCAGGGGCGCGAACCGGAUUAGAUACCCGGGUAGUCCUGGCCGUAAACGAUGUGGACUUGGUGUUGGAAUGGCUUUGAGUUGUUCCGGUGCCGAAGGGAAGCUGUUAAGUCCACCGCCUGGGAAGUACGGUCGCAAGACUAAAACUUAAAGGAAGU